AGCCGCGUAGUGUAGUGGUCAAGCAUUUGGGGGUAUGAAUUUCUCAUAUCUGUGGAAAGGGCCCUGAACCCUGAGACCGCGGUUCGAAUCCGCGCGCGGCUA
This 102-nucleotide transfer RNA is filed under the name marine sediment metagenome. RNAcentral describes it as "tRNA-His". It matches the Rfam family "tRNA". Rfam says of the family: Transfer RNA (tRNA) molecules are approximately 80 nucleotides in length. Their secondary structure includes four short double-helical elements and three loops (D, anti-codon, and T loops). The record is from RNAcentral.